GACGAACGCUGGCGGCGUGCUUAACACAUGCAAGUCGAACGGAAAGGCCCUGCUUUUGUGGGGUGCUCGAGUGGCGAACGGGUGAGUAACACGUGAGUAACCUGCCCUUGACUUUGGGAUAACUUCAGGAAACUGGGGCUAAUACCGGAUAGGAGCUCCUGCUGCAUGGUGGGGGUUGGAAAGUUUCGGCGGUUGGGGAUGGACUCGCGGCUUAUCAGCUUGUUGGUGGGGUAGUGGCUUACCAAGGCUUUGACGGGUAGCCGGCCUGAGAGGGUGACCGGCCACAUUGGGAAUGAGGUAAGGGCCAGGAUCCUACGGGAGGCAGCAGUGGGGAAUAUUGCACAAUGGGCGGAAGCCUGAUGCAGCAACGCCGCGUGCGGGAUGACGGCCUUCGGGUUGUAAACCGCUUUCGCCUGUGACGAAGCGUGAGUGACGGUAAUGGGUAAAGAAGCACCGGCUAACUACGUG
RNAcentral lists this ribosomal RNA (468 nucleotides) under uncultured bacterium. RNAcentral's name for it is "partial 16S ribosomal RNA". It matches the Rfam family "Bacterial small subunit ribosomal RNA", at positions 28 to 507 of the family's 1533-position model. The record is from RNAcentral.